Molecule: long non-coding RNA, 711 nt
Organism: Protopterus annectens (West African lungfish)
Lineage: Eukaryota; Metazoa; Chordata; Ceratodontiformes; Protopteridae
Exons: 4
Source: RefSeq, a predicted model, not a curated record
UUAAACCAAGUGUUGGAGCAUAAUCUUCUGCGGCUGGAUUUUGUAAUCCGAGCAGCACAGACGGUCAGAGUAAAAAUGCUUGUGAUAUAAGCGAUCUCAGAGUUCUGCUUUUCCCACAACACAACUGUUAUGAUUACAGCAGGGAAGAGGACUAAUUUAAGGUUAUAAUAAAUUACAAGGGCAUACAUUUCAGAAUGACUUGGUGGCCUUCUAUUUCCGUUGUAUCCUGACAGCUUCCAGACUCCUGGAAAUUUCAGAGGCUGAGGAGGAAAAGGAGAAUAAGUGAAGUCAGGUGCGGAAGAGACUAGCGAGAUUGAUUCAGAGCACUUUGGAUGUCUUGAAUUUCAGUGCAGAUGCACUCCAGACCUCUGGCUAAAGUUUCCAAACGUUGAGCAGCUCCGGUAAACUGAGCACAAACCUGUGCAAAUGUAUUGUAGUGUUUGUUCAUUGUAAUGCUACUUACCAUGAUGGUUCUGGCCUACAUCAUUGCCUUAAAGUACAGCAGCCAAAAACAUAGCAUUUCAUACAUUUAUUAACAUAUUACAAUACACUGUAUUUGAUGUUGCAUCAUCUGUUCUGAUAUUCUGUACUGCUAUGUACAAGUGGCCAUAUGUAAUUUAAAAGCAGUACAGCUUACUGUCUUAUUCUUUUCCUAACACAAAAUGUAAUCAAGAAAUAAAACUUCAUGGUUAAGCUGGAAGCCCCAAGACA